RNAcentral lists this ribosomal RNA (651 nucleotides) under uncultured bacterium. RNAcentral's name for it is "bacterial SSU rRNA". It matches the Rfam family "Bacterial small subunit ribosomal RNA", at positions 635 to 1287 of the family's 1533-position model. The record is from RNAcentral.
AUAGAUCUUGAAUACUGUGGAGGUAAGCGGAAUAUGUCAUGUAGCGGUGAAAUGCUUAGAUAUGACAUAGAACACCCAUUGCGAAGGCAGCUUACUACGCAUAUAUUGACGCUGAGGCACGAAAGCGUGGGGAUCAAACAGGAUUAGAUACCCUGGUAGUCCACGCCCUAAACUAUGGAUACUCGACAUAUGCGAUACACUGUAUGUGUCUGAGCGAAAGCAUUAAGUAUCCCACCUGGGAAGUACGUUCGCAAGAAUGAAACUCAAAGGAAUUGGCGGGGGUCCGCACAAGCGGUGGAGUAUGUGGUUUAAUUCGAUGAUACGCGAGGAACCUUACCUGGGCUAGAAUGCUGGGAGAUCGCUAGUGAAAGCUAGUUUUGUAGCAAUACACUGCCAGUAAGGUGCUGCAUGGCCGUCGUCAGCUCGUGCCGUGAGGUGUUGGGUUAAGUCCCGCAACGAGCGCAACCCCUAUCUUUAGUUGCCAACAGGUAAUGCUGGGAACUCUAAAGAAACUGCCGCCGUAAGGUGUGAGGAAGGAGGGGAUGAUGUCAGGUCAUCAUGGCCUUUAUGCCCAGGGCUACACACGUACUACAAUGGCUGGUACAGAGGGUUGCCAACCCGCGAGGGGGAGCUAAUCCCAUAAAGCCAGUC